Cyprinus carpio (common carp) is the source of this 1827-nucleotide long non-coding RNA. NCBI's taxonomy places the organism in Eukaryota, Metazoa, Chordata, Actinopteri, Cypriniformes, Cyprinidae. The record is from Ensembl.
GAGCUGUCCUGUCAGAGACACUCCUGACACCUUACACUAUCACAUCUGAAAUAUACAACCUUAAAAUUUCAGGACAAGCGAUCAUGAGAGCGUUUAGCAGAAAUCUGCUCAUCACCGUCUGUCUUCAUCUCUUAGGUGAAGGCAUUGGACAGCAUAAAGCAUGUCAACAGUCAACAUGUUUGUGCGAUGAACCUAUAGGUAGAAAUACAGCAGAGAACCUGCACAGUGUAUUCUGCAUUUCACAAUUAUCACUUUUUCUCGCAAUUCUGAGAUGUAAACAGAAUUCUGAAAAAAAAAAGAAUUGCAAGAUAUAAACUUAGAAUUGCAUGAGAAAAAAGUCAGAAUUGCGAGAUAUAAAUUCUGACUUUUUUCCUUUAAAUUCUUAGUUUACAUCUCACACAUUUCUGUUUUUUUGUUUCCACCAAGGGAUAAAAAUGAAAAAGGUAAUUUACUUUUUUUUAAUUGACAAUGCUGUCUUUUUCUCGCAAUUCUAAUUUUUUUACCACAUAAUCCUGACUUUUUUCUUAUAAUUCUGACUUUAUAGCUCACAAGUCUCAAUUGUGAGAUAAAAAGUUGCAAUUACCUUUUGUAUGUUUUUAUCCUGUAACAGAAACAAGAUUCCAUACUAAUCGGAGAUUUCUGAAAAUAUAAAAAUACAAAAUUAAUUAUCAGAAAAAUAAUUCAGUUAAUGAGAAUGCAUUAAAUCUGUUCCCAUUCUCCUUUCCCCAGAUGUUCUGCAAAACUGCACAAUAAAAGGUACACCUACUGUGCAUUAAUGACUGAAACACUGAUCAAAUCAGUGCUGUUAGAGAUAAACCCUAAUGAAGAAAAUUACUUCAUCUGUCAGAUAUCAUUUGUAAAAGGAUGAAAUAUAUGAUGACCUUUGAUCUUUUGCUCUCCUUUCCAGAUUUGAAUGUGACCAUGUGCCCCUCUUCCACCUCAGUUGAAAAGGAUACGUCGGUGACUGUGACCUGCAUUCAUAAUGUUCCCAACAGCUCCAUCAGCUGGCUAGUGGACGAUGUGUUACAGCAAAAGGAAAAUAAUACAAAAACACUUCAUAUCAAGUACAUUAAAAAAACCUCAGUCAUCAGCUGCAACGUCAGUAGUAUAUGUGGGAACUUCAACUCUACUAUUACAAUUAACGUAAAAGAUGGUGAUAUUAUAAUGGUUUUACUGAUUUGUGUUGGAGCAGCAGUUGCUCUCCUCAUGCUGUUUGCAAUAGUCAUGAACAUCAGUCUCAAGAGAGGACAAGCUAAGAGUCAGGCCAGGAAGAGACAAAGACAACAGAACCUGCAGAACAUCCAAAGCACUGUGAACACCGUCAGCAGCUACCACUGAAAGAGAGCAUUUCUACCACUGAAGCUCCUGAUUCAGAGCUGUUACAGUUCUACACUCAAAAAACAUUUAGACCUAAAUUUUAAGAUUUAUGUUUUUGACUUGCAUUUAAAAUUUCCAUCCAUUUGGAUUACAGUAAAUAUUCAAAAUAAUUAAAAUAAGUUUUGUUUACUUUUUUUUUUUUUUUUUUUUUACUUGCUUUAGUUAUUUCUGUUUGAUAAAUGAUUUGGUGUGAAGUUGACUCACUGAAUAGAGGGCUAUGGAAUGGAAUGGCUUGGUUUUUUCAAGUUUAACUUGUUAAGUCAUCCUAAAAACACAUGCAGAAAUGAACAAUGUGAUAUAUAGCAGUGCUCCACAGUGAUCAGUGAAAAUAGCAAAUGAAGGAAGAUUCAUUUUAGCACCGUUUUGGGUGCAAACUGUUGCAAUUGUUGGGUGCAAUUUUUAUUAACUAAUGUUAAUAAAGAGUUAACAAAAAGUAAUAAAUACUGUAAC